RNAcentral lists this ribosomal RNA (492 nucleotides) under uncultured bacterium. RNAcentral describes it as "partial 16S ribosomal RNA". It matches the Rfam family "Bacterial small subunit ribosomal RNA", at positions 29 to 507 of the family's 1533-position model. The record is from RNAcentral.
AGUGAACGCUGGCGGUAGGCCUAACACAUGCAAGUCGAACGGCAGCACAGUAAGAGCUUGCUCUUACGGGUGGCGAGUGGCGGACGGGUGAGGAAUACAUCGGAAUCUACUUUUUCGUGGGGGAUAACGUAGGGAAACUUACGCUAAUACCGCAUACGACCUACGGGUGAAAGCAGGGGAUCUUCGGACCUUGCGCGAUUGAAUGAGCCGAUGUCGGAUUAGCUAGUUGGCGGGGUAAAGGCCCACCAAGGCGACGAUCCGUAGCUGGUCUGAGAGGAUGAUCAGCCACACUGGAACUGAGACACGGUCCAGACUCCUACGGGAGGCAGCAGUGGGGAAUAUUGGACAAUGGGCGCAAGCCUGAUCCAGCCAUACUGCGUGGGUGAAGAAGGCCUUCGGGUUGUAAAGCCCUUUUGUUGGGAAAGAAAAGCAGCAGGUUAAUACCCCGCUGUUCUGACGGUACCCAAAGAAUAAGCACCGGCCAACUUCGUG